This 273-nucleotide ribosomal RNA is filed under the name uncultured bacterium. Its description in RNAcentral is "partial 16S ribosomal RNA". It matches the Rfam family "Bacterial small subunit ribosomal RNA", at positions 524 to 796 of the family's 1533-position model. The record is from RNAcentral.
UACGGAGGAUCCAAGCGUUAUCCGGAUUUAUUGGGUUUAAAGGGUGCGUAGGUGGGAUGAUAAGUCAGAGGUGAAAGCUAGCAGCUUAACUGUUAAAUUGCCUUUGAUACUGUUAUUCUUGAGUAUAGUUGGCGUUGGCGGAAUGUGACAUGUAGCGGUGAAAUGCGUAGAUAUGUCACAGAACACCGAUCGCGAAGGCAGCUAACGAAACUAUCACUGACACUGAUGCACGAAAGCGUGGGGAGCAAACAGGAUUAGAAACCCCCGUAGUCC